AUAACUUUUAGAAUGUAUUUUUUUCUGUCAACUUUCAUUUAACACUCCAGUCCAGUUGGUGGCAGUAAUGCGCUUUCAUAGUCGGUCAAGCAGCCGCCGUUAAAGUCCAGAGGAAGAUUUGCACUGGUGGUAACGAGUGUUAACUGCCUACACCCAACAUAAAGGAAAAUACCCGUGCGUUGUGUGAAAUGGUGGAAAAGUCCUAUUUCAUGGAGUUACCUUUUCAGUACCGUUUUGAUAUUAAGCAAUGUUCCGGCGGAAAACAACAGAUGACACCGCGGCGGUCCAACAAGACCGAACUCACGACCUGAAAAAUGGCCAAGCCGUACCAACCAGACCUCAGACCACGGUGCCGAGGAGUCCACCAGGACGAACAGAAAUUCAUACAGCAAGGCAGAGUGUGGAAAGCAGUAAAGAUCUACAAAAUGGCGUACGGAGGACGGAUAUGAGGACAAAGUCAUGAAGCCGGUAUGUAUAAUCACUGCGUUGAUUCCCGACUGUAUAAUGGUUGGUUGAGAAUAAUUUUAACUUAUUUACUUAUGUAUUUUUGAGAAAGCGAUAUAUUUGCUACAAUA
Non-coding RNA from Poecilia reticulata (guppy), 575 nucleotides. Lineage: Eukaryota; Metazoa; Chordata; Actinopteri; Cyprinodontiformes; Poeciliidae. The record is from RefSeq and is a predicted model, not a curated record.